RNAcentral lists this ribosomal RNA (327 nucleotides) under uncultured eukaryote. Its description in RNAcentral is "partial 18S ribosomal RNA". It matches the Rfam family "Eukaryotic small subunit ribosomal RNA", at positions 1470 to 1796 of the family's 1831-position model. The record is from RNAcentral.
CCCUUAGAUGUUCUGGGCCGCACGCGCGCUACACUGAUUCAUGCAACAAGUUUUGUCCUUGGCUGAUAGGCCUGGGUAAUCUUUGAACGUGAAUCGUGAUGGGGAUAGAUGAUUGCAAUUAUUCAUCUUCAACGAGGAAUUCCUAGUAAACGCAAGUCAUCAGCUUGCAUUGAUUACGUCCCUACCCUUUGUACACACCGCCCGUCGCACCUACCGAUUGAAUGGUCCGGUGAAAUCUUCGGAUCUGAGAGAUGUCUGAUUAAUUUCGGACGCCUUUUGGAAAAGUUGCUUAAACCUUACCAUUUAGAGGAAGGUGAANUCGUANCA